CUUUCCGGGUUGGCUCCAAGCGGGGCCUGUCACCUACUGCAGAGCGCGAGCCGGAGGCCCAGGGCUUCCUCCAUGGAUUCCUCAUCUGCCUCCUGAGCCCCGCUCCCUGCGAGACCCCAAGGACGUGGUAGGGAUUGUUUGCCCCAUUCAUUUAUGAGGAACUCUGAGGAGGCCCAAGUGAGUUCAGGGACGCAGAGCGGCUUAAAGGCCCAGCCUGAGCCAGAAGUCUGGCAGUCCCAUUGCACUCACUGCUUCUGGGGCUUUAAAUUACCUCGUGAGACCUAAUUAUUAAUAAUCACCAGCGUUUACUGAGCCACGCACGCCCGAAGCUCUACCUACUUUCUCCUGUAGUCUUUUCCCCAGCAGUUUUAUGGAACAUAAACAUACCAUAAAUUCACGUUUAAAGUGUACAAUGAUUUUUAGCAUAUUUACAGAGUUGUGCAGCCAUCACAACAUUCUAAUUUUAGAACAUUUUCAUCACCCCAAAAAGAAACUCCUACCAAUUAGCAGUCACUCCGCAUCCUGGCUCCCCCAGUCCCUGGCAACCACUAAUCUGCUUCCUGUUUCUAUAGAUGUCCCUUUUCUGGAUAUUUCAUAUAAAUGGAAUUAUACAAUAUAUGGCCUUUUAUGUCUGGAUUCUUUCUCUUGAACAUUUUCAAGUUUCAUCCACAUUGUAGCAUGUAUCAGUGCUUCUGGAUUCACAUCUGCCCCAGGUAUGUCUGACUCCACCCCUCCCUUUCCUGGGAUAGGCCCACACCGCCAUGAAAGACCUAUACUGCCCCUCCUGGGAGCUGGGACUAUACCAGAUUUUGUUUUUCCAUUCAUCAGUGAUGGUCAUUCGCGUGUUUCUAGUUUUUAGCCAUUAUGAAUAAUGCUGCUCUGACCAUUCAGGUACAAGCUUUUGUGUGGGGGCCUUAUGUUUACAUUUCUCUUGGAUAGAUAAGGAAGAGUGGAAUUGCUGGGUCAUAUGGCAACUGUUUAACCUUUCGAGGAACUGGCAAACUGUUUUCCAAAUUGGUUGCAACAUGUCUUGUAAUCUCUUAGCAAUGAGGUAUACACCAUUAUUAGUCCCAUUUUACAGUUAAGGAGACUGAGGUAAAGUCAGUUGCCUAAGGUCCCAGAAUUAGCUGUGAAUAUAGCCAGGAUUCGAACUUAGCUCUUA
This 1162-nucleotide long non-coding RNA is filed under the name Homo sapiens (human). RNAcentral's name for it is "HSALNT0405652". The record is from RNAcentral. Lineage: Eukaryota; Metazoa; Chordata; Mammalia; Primates; Hominidae.